Molecule: ribosomal RNA, 466 nt
Filed under: uncultured bacterium
Lineage: Bacteria
Description: partial 16S ribosomal RNA
Rfam family: Bacterial small subunit ribosomal RNA
Source: RNAcentral
GAUGAACGCUGGCGGCGUGCUUAACACAUGCAAGUCGAACGAUGAAGCCCAGCUUGCUGGGUGGAUUAGUGGCGAACGGGUGAGUAACACGUGAGUAACCUGCCCUUAACUCUGGGAUAAGCCUGGGAAACUGGGUCUAAUACCGGAUAGGAGCGUCCACCGCAUGGUGGGUGUUGGAAAGAUUUAUCGGUUUUGGAUGGACUCGCGGCCUAUCAGCUUGUUGGUGGGGUAAUGGCUCACCAAGGCGACGACGGGUAGCCGGCCUGAGAGGGUGACCGGCCACACUGGGACUGAGACACGGCCCAGACUCCUACGGGAGGCAGCAGUGGGGAAUAUUGCGCAAUGGGCGCAAGCCUGAUGCAGCGACGCCGCGUGAGGGAUGACGGCCUUCGGGUUGUAAACCUCUUUCAGUAGGGAAGAAGCGAAAGUGACGGUACCUGCAGAAGAAGCACCGGCUAACUACGUG